UCGCAAUUUGUUCUAAGUGAUACGUCUGCUUCACACUAAGAAUGAAUCGCAGAAUUCUGUGAAAUUAUUCACCGAAACAAAACUGUAAAGUAUGUUUCUACAGAUCUUUCUGUGAAAUGCAAUGUUUUCCAAUCCAACUGUCAAAGUUUCACAGAAGUUUCGGUAAAGGCAAACAAAUUACCAAAUUCUGUGAAAUUUUUACAUUGCGGUUCGGUAAACAUCACAAUUUUCACCGCACACUGCAGUUUUCACCGGAUUUCUGUAAAACCAUUAAUCAUUGUCUAAUCAAAAGUGGUUGGUUUUGGUUGUUGUUUCAUGAAGUGGAAACACUCAGCAGAAUAACACGAUAAUGGAAGAAGUUUAGGAUAAUUUCCAACAGCAGCACGAAGAACUGCCAACUAUCUGCUGUUUCUUCCGGAUUGAGGUGCGUGGAACUUGGCCCGAAUGCGUCACAACGAUGCAUCGUCACAUCAUAUCUACACAACCACGUUCAUCAUACUAAUGUGUGAAUCAUUAUUAAAAUUAACUCUGUAUCUGAUUGUGAUUUAAUAAAAAUGUGGAAUAAUACCGUGAAUAGCAAAUCAACUUAUUGAAAAGUCAUCGUAAUUUUGUAUAAAAAU
Aedes albopictus (Asian tiger mosquito) is the source of this 620-nucleotide long non-coding RNA. RefSeq lists it as uncharacterized. The transcript is spliced from 2 exons. Lineage: Eukaryota; Metazoa; Arthropoda; Insecta; Diptera; Culicidae. The record is from RefSeq and is a predicted model, not a curated record.